AUGCCCGAUGAUUAUAACAAGACGCGUUAUUACGAGGACCAAUGCUGGAACUUCCAUUUCUCUCUUCCCUCACCUCUUGGUUCUUUUUCUCCAACACUCUUCUUACCUUUCUAUUUUCCUCUUUCUUCCUCCUACCUUACCUCUGCCUUUGGAAUAUCCAGUGUCCUGUGAGCAAGAUUAUGAGAUAUGAGGGCAG
Molecule: small nucleolar RNA, 196 nt
Organism: Pogona vitticeps (central bearded dragon)
Lineage: Eukaryota; Metazoa; Chordata; Lepidosauria; Squamata; Agamidae
Source: Ensembl